AUUGAACGCUGGCGGCAUGCUUUACACAUGCAAGUCGGACGGCAGCACAGAGAAGCUUGCUUCUUGGGUGGCGAGUGGCGAACGGGUGAGUAAUAUAUCGGAACGUACCGAGUAAUGGGGGAUAACUAAUCGAAAGAUUAGCUAAUACCGCAUAUUCUCUGAGGAGCAAAGCAGGGGACCUUCGGGCCUUGCGUCAUUCGAUCGGCCGAUAUCUGAUUAGCUAGUAGGUGGGGUAACGGCCUACCAAGGCGACGAUCAGUAGCGGGUCUGAGAGGAUGAUCCGCCACACUGGAACUGAGACACGGCCCAGACUCCUACGGGAGGCAGCAGUGGGGAAUAUUGGACAAUGGGCGCAAGCCUGAUGCAGCCAUGCCGCGUGUCUGAAGAAGGCCUUCGGGUUGUAAAGGACUUUUGUCAGGGAAGAAAAGACUGUUGCUAAUACCGACAGCUGAUGACGGUACCUGAAGAAUAAGCACCGGCUAACUACGUG
This 490-nucleotide ribosomal RNA is filed under the name uncultured bacterium. Its description in RNAcentral is "partial 16S ribosomal RNA". It matches the Rfam family "Bacterial small subunit ribosomal RNA", at positions 30 to 507 of the family's 1533-position model. The record is from RNAcentral.